AUGAAUGACUUUAUCCAGCGACCUUAUGAAGCGGAGGAGGUGAAAAAGGCGUUGUUUGAUAUGGCACCAUCCAAGGCCCCAGGGGUGGAUGGCUUCAUGGCUGGUUUCUAUCAACGACAUUGGAAUGUUCUAGGUGAGGAUAUAACAAUGGUCGUGCUUGCCUUUCUGAACGGGGGAGAGUUACCUCUAGGCUUGAAUGAUACUGCCAUCACGCUGAUUCCUAAGGUACGACACCCGCAGAAAAUCUCACAAUUUCGUCCCAUCGCCUUAUGCCCGGUGCUCUACAAAAUUGCAGUCAAAGCAAUUUCCAAUAGACUCCGUGACAUCCUGGACGAGAUUAUAGGGGCAGAACAAAGUGCAUUUGUACCUGGUCGCUUAAUUACAGAUAAUGUACUUGUGGCUUACGAGACUAUCCAUGCUAUUAAGCGGAGGAAAAAGGGAAAGAAUUGUUGUUGUGUUGUUAAACUGGACAUGCUCAAGGCUUAUGACAGAGUGGAAUGGCACUAUCUCGAAGCAAUGCUAACAAGGCUGGGCUUUGGAGAUGCUUUUAUACGCCUGGUUAUGAAAUGUGUCACUUCUGUUCGGUUCACGAUUAAGCUGAAUGGCGAGCUACUACCGUAUUUCACUCCACGAGGUUUACGGCAAGGAUGCCCCAUCUCGCCGUACCUCUUCCUGCUGUGUGCUCAAGGCCUUACCUCACUUCUGAAUAAUUUUGGCGGAGCACAUAUUGAUCGAGGAAUUAGGGUGAGUAUCCAUGCACCUUGGGUUAAUUACUUGCUUUUUGCUGACGACUGUCUUAUCUUCCUGAAUGCGCAAACCCAGAGUGCGGAUAGACUGAACGAUAUUCUCCGGAUUUACGCUGAUUGUUCUGGACAAGCAGUGAAUAAGGAGAAAAGCUCUAUAUUUUUUAGUGCCAAUACACAUCAACCCACACGGCAGGCACUCAAGCAAUCUUUGGACAUACAUGUUGAGGCCUUCUCGGAGCGCUACUUGGGCUUACCUACAGCUAUUGGCAAGAUAACUAGUGGGAUGUUUGAUCAUAUUGUUGAUCGAUGUCGAAGUAAGUUACACGGCUAUUCUGAAAGGAACAUGGCUUGUGCGGCACGAGAGGUUUUGCUCAAAACAGUGGUUCAGGCCAUUCCUACCUACAGUAUGAGCUGCUUUCUGCUUACAAAAAAGGUGUGCAAGAGUAUCAUUUCAUGCAUGGCCAAAUAUUGGUGGGGGAGUUCCAUAGACAAACGCACACUCCAC
This 1251-nucleotide ribosomal RNA is filed under the name Triticum aestivum (bread wheat). RNAcentral describes it as "partial small subunit ribosomal RNA". Lineage: Eukaryota; Viridiplantae; Streptophyta; Magnoliopsida; Poales; Poaceae. The record is from RNAcentral.